CCUACGGGCUGCAGUAGGGAAUAUUGGACAAUGGGCGAAAGCCUGAUCCAGCCAUGCCGCGUGAUAGAUGAAGGCCCUCUGGGUUGUAAAUAUCUUUUAUCUGGGAAGAAACAAUCUUAUUCUUAAGAUCUUGACGGUACCAGAGGAAUAAGCACCGGCUAACUCCGUGCCAGCAGCCGCGGUAAUACGGAGGGUGCAAGCGUUUUCCGGAUUCACUGGGGGUAAAGGGUCCGUAGGCGGAGUGAUAAGUGAAAGCUCCGAGCUUAACUUGGAAACUGCCAUUGAUACUGCCAGUCUUGAAUGUCGUAGAGGUAAGCGGAAUGUUGCAUGUAGCGGUGAAAUGCUUAGAUAUGUUACAGAACACCAAUUGCGAAGGCAGCUUACUAUGCGAUGAUUGACGCUGAGGCACGAAAGCGUGGGGAGCAAACAGGAUUAGAUACCCUAGUAGUC
This 450-nucleotide ribosomal RNA is filed under the name uncultured bacterium. RNAcentral's name for it is "partial 16S ribosomal RNA". It matches the Rfam family "Bacterial small subunit ribosomal RNA", at positions 338 to 795 of the family's 1533-position model. The record is from RNAcentral.